UAAAAGCUUUUUUGUAGUAGUGUCGUAUAAUAUGUUCACUAUUUUUUGCCUGUUUUUUUAAACACAUUGCUGAUCUUAAUUUCUCACUUGUCGAGGACCAAUUAACCAAAAAAACUAAAGAAGAGGAGGCACACCAAAGAAUCUAGAAGCAAUGUAGUGGAGCAUUUUAGCUUUAGAGGAUGAUGUGCCAACGUCCUCUAUUUCUUUUCCACCAUGGUUAGCAAAUUUAUACUUGUUUUUUCAGGAAUCUGGAGAGGCGUGAGCCUCUGCAGUAAAAUUAAAUUAACAUUAGUAUCAGUCAAGUUAAAAUUACAGAACGAAAUUCAAGAAACAAAAAAAAGAUUUCCGCAAAAAAAGGAAAAGAAACAAAAAAGGGGAAAAAAGGAGGGGAGAAAAACACAGUAAGGAGGGAAAUCUAUACGGUUCUAAAUAUGGCAUGCAAACACUUUAAAGUAUAGGAUUACAUACCUGUUUGGCACAAUAUGUCGUGCAAAUCUAAAGGCA
Molecule: long non-coding RNA, 504 nt
Filed under: Sorghum bicolor (sorghum)
Lineage: Eukaryota; Viridiplantae; Streptophyta; Magnoliopsida; Poales; Poaceae
Description: long non-coding RNA (SBIC_LNC003786)
Source: RNAcentral